This 728-nucleotide ribosomal RNA is filed under the name uncultured marine eukaryote. Its description in RNAcentral is "SSU rRNA". It matches the Rfam family "Eukaryotic small subunit ribosomal RNA", at positions 452 to 1185 of the family's 1831-position model. The record is from RNAcentral.
CGACACGGGGAGGUAGUGACAAUAAAUACUGAUACGGGGCUCUUUUGGGUCUCGUAAUUGGAAUGAGUACAAUCUAAAUCCCUUAACGAGGAACAAUUGGAGGGCAAGUCUGGUGCCAGCAGCCGCGGUAAUUCCAGCUCCAAUAGCGUAUAUUAAAGUUGUUGCAGUUAAAAAGCUCGUAGUUGAACCUUGGGUCUGGCUGGCCGGUCCGCCUCACCGCGAGUACUGGUCCGGCUGGACCUUUCCUUCUGGGGAAUCCCAUGGCCUUCACUGGCUGUGGGUGGAACCAGGACUUUUACUGUGAAAAAAUUAGAGUGUUCAAAGCAGGCCUUUGCUCGGAUACAUUAGCAUGGAAUAAUAGAAUAGGACGUGCGGUUCUAUUUUGUUGGUUUCUAGGACCGCCGUAAUGAUUAAUAGGGAUAGUCGGGGGCGUCAGUAUUCAGCUGUCAGAGGUGAAAUUCUUGGAUUUGCUGAAGACUAACUACUGCGAAAGCAUUCGCCAAGGAUGUUUUCAUUAAUCAGGGAACGAAAGUUAGGGGAUCGAAGACGAUCAGAUACCGUCGUAGUCUUAACCAUAAACUAUGCCGACUAGGGAUCGGGCGGCGUUUCUAUGAUGACCCGCUCGGCACCUUACGAGAAAUCAAAGUUUUUGGGUUCUGGGGGGAGUAUGGUCGCAAGGCUGAAACUUAAAGAAAUUGACGGAAGGGCACCACAAGGCGUGGAGCCUG